GGUGAGAUGGCCGAGCGGUCUAAGGCGCCAGACUAAGGAUCAGCUUCUUUGAAGCUCAACUCAUCACGACAGUGGUGAUCUGGUCCUCCGGGGCGUGGGUUCGAAUCCCACUCUCAUCA
Mycena haematopus is the source of this 119-nucleotide non-coding RNA. Lineage: Eukaryota; Fungi; Basidiomycota; Agaricomycetes; Agaricales; Mycenaceae. The record is from the annotation of a GenBank genome assembly.